GCUUUUGGUAGGAUUGGGCGAUUGGUUGCCAGAGUCACGCUCCAGAGUGAGGAUGUGGAACUCAUUGCCGUCAAUGAUCCAUUCAUUACCACCGAUUACAUGACAUACAUGUUUAAAUAUGAUACUGUACAUGGGCAAUGGAAGCAUAACGAGAUAAAAGUGAAGGAUUCCAAGACCCUUCUUUUUGGAGAGAAAGAGGUUAUUGUCUUUGGCAUCAGGAAUCCUGAGGAGAUUCCUUGGGGUGAGACUGGAGCUGACUUCGUUGUGGAGUCUACUGGUGUCUUU
Zingiber officinale is the source of this 285-nucleotide long non-coding RNA. RefSeq lists it as uncharacterized. The record is from RefSeq and is a predicted model, not a curated record. The transcript is spliced from 3 exons. NCBI's taxonomy places the organism in Eukaryota, Viridiplantae, Streptophyta, Magnoliopsida, Zingiberales, Zingiberaceae.